Molecule: non-coding RNA, 1121 nt
Organism: Pelobates cultripes (western spadefoot toad)
Lineage: Eukaryota; Metazoa; Chordata; Amphibia; Anura; Pelobatidae
Source: the annotation of a GenBank genome assembly
UCUAUUUAAUUUCCUUGCCAGCAGAUAGAGUAAUGCAUCCACUAUAUGCCCACAGCAGGGAACAGUCCAUUCAUAAUCCUCCAGACGUACAAUAAAACUGUUAUUCAACAUGUCAAUUGUAUAGAACAGAAUAGAGCAAACUGCCAGCAGACAUGAGUACUGCAUCCACUAUAUGCACACAGCAGGGAUCAGUCCUACAUAUUCAUGCAGAGUUACAUAUAAAACUUUUAUUUCACAUGCCAAUGAAAUAAGACAGUAUAGAGCUCAGCAGUGAACAGUCCAUUCAUAAUCUUCCAGAAAAGGUACAUAUAAAACCUUUAUUCCACAUGCCCAUGAUAUGUAUUAGUAUUGAGCUCAAAAGUACAUGUAAAACUUUUAUUUCGCAGGAAAAAUAUUUUAAACAGUACAGAUCUAGCUGCCAGUUCGUGGGAAUCACGAACUGGCUAAACGACAUGGCCGACGUGAAUCUCGCGAGUGCCGCGAGAUUCAAGAUGGCCGCCGUUUGCGCGCAAUAGUGCCGUGUGGCCCACGAUCGAGGAUCUGAUCGCGGCCUGCCGGUAUGGAACAAAGUCCCCCCGACACCCCCAACCCCCAGAGACCUGCCCUGAAGUCCCAGUACCAGUGAAUAAAGAAGCGUGCUCGCGGUAAAACGCCGUGAUCCGUGCGAGACCAGAGUAAAGCAUAGGAAAGAAAAGGUGCCAGCAACAGAAAACCAAACAGGCUAAUAAAACAGAAAAUACAGGGAUAAUUUGGGGGAAGGGUAACAGAGGGAGAAUAUCACAUUAUACAAGUCCAAAUGGAAGGCAAGUGCAAAAUAAUGAAAAACGUUUAAGCCAAAAUUGCAGGACAAGCUAAUAAAGUUUAACUAAAGUGGCCAUGCAUAUCCAGAAACAGUUAGGAGCAAAACUGAAUGUCUAGCAUUAAAAAUCUAACUAAAGUGACCAUCGCAAUAUUAAUAAAAACAGUUGGAGCAAACUGAAAGUCAAGUAAUAAAGUUUAAUUAAAGUGACCAUUGCAAUAGCCAGAAAACCAGUUUGGAUUAAAACUGAAUGUCUAGCAUAAGGUGUCUAACUACAGUGACCAUAGCAAUAUUAAUAAAACCAGUUUGGAGCAAAACUUAA